Molecule: unclassified non-coding RNA, 194 nt
Filed under: plant metagenome
Description: partial contains small subunit ribosomal RNA, internal transcribed spacer 1, and 5.8S ribosomal RNA
Source: RNAcentral
UGUCCGUAGGUGAACCAGCGGAAGGAUCAUUACAGAGUUCAUGCCCGACAGGGUAGACCUGCCACCCUUGUGUAUUAUUACUUUGUUGCUUUGGCGGGGGCAAGCUCGCGAGAGAAUACCACAACUCUUUUUAUUAUUGUCGUCUGAGUACUAUAUAAUAGUUAAAACUUUCAACAACGGAUCUCUUGGUUCUG